Small nuclear RNA from Arvicola amphibius (Eurasian water vole), 164 nucleotides. RefSeq annotates it as U1 spliceosomal RNA. The record is from RefSeq and is a predicted model, not a curated record. NCBI's taxonomy places the organism in Eukaryota, Metazoa, Chordata, Mammalia, Rodentia, Cricetidae. The transcript has a single exon.
CUAUUUACCGGGCAGGGGAGGUACCAUGAUCAUGAAGGUGGUUUUCCCAGAAUGAGGCUUAUCCAUUGCAUUUCAGAUGUGCUGCCCUCUGCGAUUUCCCCAAAUGUGAGAAACUUGGCUGCAUGAUUUGUGGUAGUGGUGUAAUAUGUUCGCUCUCUCCCCUU